GGGUCAGUAGGUUGGUCGUGCCACCGGUACGUACUGGUCUCACUGAUUCCUCCUUCCUGAAGAACCGUAGUGCCAUUAAUUUGGUGUUGCGGGGAAACAGGACUGUUACUUUGAAAAAAUUAGAGUGUUUGAAGCAAGCUAACGCUUGAAUACAUUAGCAUGGAAUAAUGAAAUAGGACGAUCGAUCCUAUUUUGUUGGUUUCUAGGAUUGACGUA
This 216-nucleotide ribosomal RNA is filed under the name Glomeromycotina sp. Its description in RNAcentral is "partial small subunit ribosomal RNA". The stretch from base 40 to 216 matches the Rfam family "Eukaryotic small subunit ribosomal RNA", at positions 686 to 864 of the family's 1831-position model. The record is from RNAcentral. Lineage: Eukaryota; Fungi; Glomeromycota.